Molecule: ribosomal RNA, 427 nt
Filed under: uncultured bacterium
Lineage: Bacteria
Description: partial 16S ribosomal RNA
Rfam family: Bacterial small subunit ribosomal RNA
Source: RNAcentral
UGGGGAAUAUUGCACAAUGGGCGGAAGCCUGAUGCAGCAACGCCGCGUGAGUGAUGAAGGCCUUCGGGUUGUAAAGCUCUGUCUUUUGGGACGAUAAUGACGGUACCAAAGGAGGAAGCCACGGCUAACUACGUGCCAGCAGCCGCGGUAAUACGUAGGUGGCAAGCGUUGUCCGGAUUUACUGGGCGUAAAGGAUGCGUAGGCGGAUUUUUAAGUGAGAUGUGAAAUACCCGGGCUUAACUUGGGUGCUGCAUUUCAAACUGGGAAUCUAGAGUGCGGGAGAGGAGAAUGGAAUUCCUAGUGUAGCGGUGAAAUGCGUAGAGAUUAGGAAGAACACCAGUGGCGAAGGCGAUUCUCUGGACCGUAACUGACGCUGAGGCAUGAAAGCGUGGGUAGCAAACAGGAUUAGAUACCCUGGUAGUCCACG